This 45-nucleotide non-coding RNA is filed under the name Alexandrium minutum. The record is from RNAcentral. Lineage: Eukaryota; Dinophyceae; Gonyaulacales; Pyrocystaceae.
UGAAAAAAAAAAAAAAAAAAAAAAAAAAAAAAAAAAAAAAAAAAA